UGGGCUUCAAAGAACCAGUAGAAGAGUGCUUUCUCGUCUUGUGGCCGGAGUUUCACGUACCCUGCGUAGUGCCGGAACUCCACCGCCGGCUGUCCCGGCAAAUCCUUAACUCUGUCUUUCUCUUGCUGUAAUUCCUCCGCUCCGGCCACCGAGGCAGCCGCCGUCAUCGCCUGUAGAACCAGACAGAAGAUCAGCCAGUUGCAGAGAGAAGACGCCAUUGAAACCAUUCUCCGUGCUCGCAGCCCUUCUCUCAGUCUACUUUAUAGACGAACAGCAGAGACAAUGAAGCACUAAUAAAGUUUCAUUUUAUUUUUUUUAAAUUCAUAAAAGUAACUGUAAAAACUGAAUUUUAUUGCUCCACUACUUCACUUACAAAAUUUUUCUAUCCCAACUUAUGUUUAUGGCAUUGAAGAAUGAACGAAGACACAACUCACAAGAAUUAUAAUUAAUAUUUUAUAAAUUUAAAUUAGAAUGAAAAAUUAUGAUUUUUUUUAAGUCUUGUUUGGGUAUCUUUUAGCACUAGAAUAAAUUAUUUUCUAUUUCAAAAAUAUUUUUGUUAAAAAAAAAGGAUAAUUAUGCAAUUUUAAAAUAUUUUAAUUAAAUAAAAAUCAGAUUUCCGCAUCUAAAUUAUGGAUUCUGAUUGAAAGUUGUAUUUAAACACUCCUAAAUUGCACUUGAACUUUAAAACAAUGCUUGUGGUUUUUUAAAAGCUCUUCCAAGUACAAAAUUAAUAUUAAUUUUUUUGGUCUUUUUCCUUUAUUUAUUGAAAAAAAAAGUGAAGUGAAUGUAAAAUUUGAAACGACUUUGUGUAAAUGGAUAUUGGAUAAACCCAUAAUAUAUUUUUAUUAUUAAUUAAAGUCCCAUUUAAUAGUGAUUUUAUAAAAUAUUUUUAAUUUUUCUAAUGCUUUAAGUUUUUUAUUAUUUAAGUAUUAAAAAUAUUUUAUAAAAUCAUUUUCAAAUGCACAGGAGAAUAAAAGGAGGGCAAGUGGAACCAAAGUAAGUAAAUUGAAUGAUAUAAUAUUUUAUUGGUCACAAGAUUUGUACAAAUGUUUUGGCUUUUUAAGACAGGGUUGCCAAUAGGAGCCUUCUCGUUUCGGAUUGUGGAUUAAUCCCACUUUUUUGAGUACCCAAAAAAUUAGGAAUCGUGUCAUCUUUUUGGGCAUUCAAAAUAGGGAAAAAGAAUAAGAAAAAAAGAAGGAAGGUCCAUUUUUUUGAGUGGUUUUUUUUUUGAUGUUGCAAAAUGAAAAAAAGAAAAAGAAAAAAAAAAGUUAGAGUCUACAAUUUAUUUUUUAAAAAAAUGGAUAGAGGGAAAAUGUUUUGUUUUUAAAUUUGAUUUAUCCAUAUUUUAAAAUUAUAAUAAAAUUAUGUUUUUUUAUUGGAAAUAUUUAUAAUAGUGUUUUAAGAAUAUAGUUGAUUGUACAAAAAUAUUUUUACUUCUUCAAUAAUUGAAAUGUAGGAGUUAAAAUAACAAAGGCUAAGUUUAAUACAAAAAAAUUUUGAAAUAAAUUUAUAGAUUAAGCUAAUUUUUAGAAAACAUUUCUAAUCUAAAAAUGAUUAAAAUAGUCCAUUUGGUGAUGAUUAUAAGAAGCGUUUUUAAGUUAAAAUGUGUUUUUGAAAAAAAAAAAAUGAGUGUUUGAUAAAAUUAAGGAAACAGAAAAAUGUUGAAAAGUCAAUUGUAAUGUUUUAUAGAAAAACACGUUAUAUAUGAUUUUCUAAAAAAAAAAUCAUUAAAAACACUUUGAGUAUAAAUACUAUCAAAUGCAAAAUGUUGGAUACAAUUUUAAAAAGUUAAAAAAUCACUUAUAUUUUUUAAGAAAUAUUUGAUAGGUGAUUAUUCAAAAAACAUUUAUAAUUUUUACUAAAAGUGCUUAAAAUAAAUUACUAUCAAUACUUGUAGAAAAUCCUUAUAGUUUAGAAAAUAUUUUUGAAUAAAAAAGAGAUAUUAAAUAAGAUUUAGAAAUUAAUUUUAAAAAAAUUAAAAAAUUCGCUUAUAGUAGUUUAUAAAAAACACUUAGAAAUGUGACUUUCCAAAAAUGUACUCUUAGAAAAUAAAUUUUUUACUAAAAACACUUCAAAUGAAAAUAAUGUUUAAAACGAGUUCAAAUUAAAAUAAUAUUUAAAAUGCGUUUGAUAAUGAUUUUAAUAAUAUUUUUAACCUUUUUGAUGUUGAAAAAUAAAAAUUUUCCAAGUGUAAAAAUUGCUAAAAACACUUUUUAAAAGCACCUUCAAAUGCAAUAAACACUCUAAAAGUGAUUUCAAUUUUAAAUUUCUUUUAAAGUAUUUUGUUUAUGAUUAUGACGUUAGUGACUCACAAAUAAAGAAUCUAUGAAUUUGAAUCAUGAUUGAUACUUGUGAGGCAGAGUCUUAACCAGUUAUCAUUUAAUGAAUUUAAAUCCAUGAUUGAUGGUUGUGAGGCAAAGUGUUAGCCAAUUCUACUUAACAUUUAAUGAAUUUGAAUCCCUCAACAAAGUCUUAGCCAAUUUGUCAUCUUUAAGAGAAAUCGUGUGAAUUAAUUCAAUACAUUUCUUUUCAAAAAUAGAAAUCUCACAACCCAAAAAUAUACUCCUAGAAAAUAUAUUUUUACUAAAAAUACUUCAAAUUAAAAUAAUGUUUAAAAUAUGUUUGACUUUAAUUUUAAGAAAUAUUUUUAAUCUUUAUAAUAUUAAAAGAUAAAAAAUUUCAAGUAUUAAAAAGAGUAAAAAUACUUCUUAAAAUCAUUUUCAAAUAGACACUCUAAAGUCAUUUCAAUUUUAUUUUUUUUGUAAUAUUUUGUUCAUGAUUACACAUCAGUGACCCACAAUAUAAAGAAUCUACUUAUCAUUUAAUGAAUUUGAAUCCAUAAUCGAUGGUGUUAAUGCAAAGUCUUAGUCAAUUUGUCAUUUUUGAGAAAACCGUGUGAAUUAAUUCAAUACAUCUUUUUCAAAAAUAGAAAUCUCACAACCAAAAUAUUCUCUUAGAAAAUACAUUUUUACUAAAAACACUUCAAAUUAAAAUAAUUUUUAAAAUAUGCUUGACAAUAAUUUUAAGAAAUAUUUAUAGUUUUUCUAAUAAUAAAAGAUAAAAAAUUUCAAAUAUUAAAAAAAAUAUUAAAAACAUUUCUUAAAAUCACUUUCAAACACACUAAACACUUUAGAGUCAUUUCAAUUUAAAAAAUUUUCUUUUAAAGUAUUUUGUUCAUGAUUAUGACAUCAGUGACCCACAAUAUAAAGAAUCUACUUAUCAUUUAAUGAAUUUGAAUCCAUAAUCUAUGGUUGCGAGGCAAAGUCUUAGUCAAUUUGUGAUUUUUGAGAGAAUUGUGUGAAUUAAAUCAAUACAUCUUUUUCAAAAAAAUUAAAAUUAAAAAAAAACUAAAAACAUUUCUUAAAAUCACUUUCAAAUGCACUAAACACUUUAGAGUCAUUUCAAUUUAAAAAAUUUUCUUUUAAAGUAUUUUGUUCAUGAUUAUAACAUCAAUGACCCACAAUAUAAAGAAUCUACUUAUCAUUUAAUGAAUUUGAAUCCAUAAUCUAUGGUUGUGAGGCAAAGUCUUAGGUGGUGUUUGUUUUUUUACUUAAUUCUAAAUAUAACCUUAAUACUUAAUAGUGUUAAAUAUUAAGUUGUUUAUUUUUAUAAUAUUUUAUUUUUAUUAAGUAUUAAAAAGUAAAGAAAAACCAAUAUGUUAUUUUUUCUAUUUAGAAAAAGUUACAUAUUUUGGAUUUUUUUAUUUAGUAAAAAUUUUAUAAUAAGUUAUGAAAAAGUAGAUAAACAAACAACCUAAAUUUUGAAAACAAUUUGUUUUCAGCAAAAAGCAAAAAAAAAAACAAACACCACCUUAGUCAAUUUGUCAUUUUUGAGAAAAUUGUGUGAAUUAAUUAGUACAUUUUUUUCAAAAAAAAAAAAGACUAAAAAUAUUUUUAAAAAUCACUUUCAAGCACAAAACACUUUAGAGUCAUUUCAAUUUUAAAUUUUUUCUUUUAAAGUAUUUUGUUCAUGAUUAUGACAUCACUGACUCACAAUAUAAAGAAUCUACUUAUCAUUUAAUGAAUUUGAAUUUAUGAUUGAUGGUUGUGAGGCAAAGUCUUAGCCAAUUUGUGAUUUUUGAGGGAUCCAUGUGAAUUAAUUUAGUACAUCUUUUUCAAAAAUUAUAAAAAUUUCAUAAUAAGUUAUGAAAAAAUAGAUAAACAAAUUACUUUAAGCAAAAAGCCAAAAAAACAAACACCAUCUUAGUCAAUUUGUCAUUUUUGAGAAAAUCGUGUGAAUUAAUUAGUACAUUUUUUUCAAAAAAAAAAAAAGACUAAAAAUAUUUUUUAAAAUCACUUUCAAAUGCACAAAACACUUUAGAGUCAUUUCAAUUUUAAAUUUUUUCUUUUAAAGUAUUUUGUUCAUGAUUAUGACAUCAAUGACCCACAAUAUAAAGAAUGUACUUAUCAUUUAAUGAAUUUGAAUUGAUGAUUGACGGUUGUGAGGUAAAGUCUUAGCCAAUUUGUCAUUUUUAAGAGAACCGUAUGAAUUAAUUCAGUACAUCUUUUUUAAAAAUUAUAAAAAUUUUAUAAUAAGUUAUGAAAAAGUAGAAAAACAAACAACUUAAAUUCUGAAAACAAACCGCUUUUAACAAAAAGCCAAAAAAACAAACACUAUCUUAGUCAAUUUGUCAUUUUUGAGAGAAUCGUGUGAAUUAAUUCAGUACAUCCUUUUCAAAAAAAAAAAAAAAGAAUAAAAAUAUUUUUUAAAAUCACUUUCAAACGCACAAAACACUUUAGAGUCAUUUCAAUUUUAAAUUUUUUCUUUUAAAGCAUUUUGUUCAUGAUUAUGACAUGAGUGACCCACAAUAUAAAGAAUAUACUUAUCAUUUAAUGAAUUUGAAUUGAUGAUUGAUGGUUGUGAGGCAAAGUCUUAGUCAAUUUGUCAUUUUUUAGAAAACUGUGUGAAUUAAUUCAGUACAUCUUUUUCAAAAAUUAUAAAAAUUUUAUAAUAAGUUAUGAAAAAGUAGAAAAACAAAUAAUCUAAAUUCUGAAAAUAAAUUGCUUUUAGCAAAAAGCCAAAAAAAACAAACACCACCUUAGUCAAUUUGUCAUUUUUAAGAGAAUCGUGUGAAUUAAUUCAGUACAUCUUUUUUUUAAAAAAAGACUAAAAAUAUUUUUUAAAAUCACUUUCAAAUGCACAAAACACUGUAGAGUCAUUUCAAUUUUAAAUUUUUUCUUUUAAAGUAUUUUGUUCAUGAUUAUGACAUUAGUAACCCACAAUAUAAAUAAUUUACUUAUCAUUUAAUGAAAUUGAAUUCAUGAUUGAUGGUUGUGAGGUAGAGUCUUAGCCAAUUUGUCAUUUUUGAGACAACCCUAUAAAUUAAUUCAAUACAUCUUUUUCAAAAAUAGAAAUCUUCUCGCCAAAAAUAUACUCCUAGAAAAUAUAUUUUUACUAGAAACACUUUAAAUUAAAAUAAUAUUUAAAAUGUAUUUAACAAUAAUUUUAAGAAAUAUUUUUUCUCUUUUUAAUACCGAAAGAUAAAAAAUUUCAAAAAUAACUGUCAAAUACACUAGAUACUCUAAAGUCAUUUCAAUUUUAAAGUUUUUCUUUUUAGAGUGUUAUUUUCAUAAUUACUACGUCAAAAAUCUACUUAUCAUUUAAUUAAUUUGAAUCCAUGAUGUAUGGUUGUGACACAAAUUCCUAGUCAACCGUGUGAUAUUAGAUACAUCUUCUUCAAAAAUAAGAAUCUCGCCGCCAGACCCGGCUAUGGGCCGUGGAACUUGCAAGCUAGUCAAGAGUCAUGCUCUCCGCCCAACAAGUCCUUUCAUAAAAAGUUAAAAAAAAAAAAAAAAAAACAUAUUUUUGAGGAUGGUGCUUUAAAAGGGUAAGAAUAAUUUAUUAAAAAAUUAUUUUUUAUUUUGUGUCAUGUACAAAAUUUUAAAUUAUUUUAUAUAUUUUUGUUUUUUUUUUUACUAAAAAUUUUGUUUUUUUAGAACAAAUUUAUAUAUUUUCUCAUGUGUUUUUUUUUUGUAAAGUUCUUGGAAACACAAAUAAAAAUAUGGACUUUAAUAUUUUUCAUAUAUAUAUAUAUAUAUAUAAUGCGAAGAAUAAUUUGAAAAAAUAGAUUUUACUUUUGAUAUGAAUGAGGAGUAUUUUUCAAAAUAUUUAUCCAUAACUAUUUUUUUAAAUCAUUGUCAACAAUUAAUUUUUAACAAUUAUUUUCAAAAAUCUUGUUUCUUUUUUUAUUCUUUAUUUUCAAAAAUAGUUACUUAGAGCAUGUUUGGCAGUGUAAUUUAAAAAUAAUUUUCGAUUAAGUGUCAUGCCCAAUUAACCCAAAGGUUGUCAGGCCCAACAAUUGGAUGGGCUUGGCCCAUUAAAUUUGGAGCCCAUCUCGAGCCCCAAUUCCAAGUCGGUUUGGGGUCAAAUUGAGAAAUAUUAAGAGUGAAAGGACUUUUAUAUAUACAAAAAUAAAAGAAAUUUUAAUUUCUCACCUUCUUCUCUCUCCGGCUCUAGGUAAAACCCUAUCCCUAAUGUUAGUACUCUUGAGAAAAUUUCUGAAAAAUAGUCAAGUAGUUGUAGGGAUUUUUAUUCGGAUUAAUCAGAUCAGUUUCAAGUGAGUUGAAAGUUUUGUUUUCUCGUCUCCCGAACAGUCAAAGAUCCGCAAAUGGAAAUUUUCUCUUCUUUUCCUAUAAGGCUUUUCAUAUUUGUUUGUGGCAUCGUAUUUGACAUUUGGUGUUGUUUUCCUGUGAAAUUCUCUCGGUUUUUCUCACUGAAACCUACCCUUCGUUUGGAUAUGGAGAGCCGUUUUCUGGUUAGAACGUAGCCACGUCGUUGUUUUGAUUGAAAAUGAUUCGUAUAAGUAGUAUUUCGCUAAUGACAUAUCCCUAUUUAUCACUAAAGCGAUUCUAGGUUUUUUUUUUUUUUUUUUCGUUUGUUUGAUGAUUUCUAGGGUUUCUGGUUCUUGUAUGGUUUUCUCAUGCUUCAUUUAUAAGUUUUUGCAAAUGGAAUUAUCAAAUAUAACUUAGAUUUUUUCGUUUUCCUUUCUGUUUGAGAUCAUAUGUAUGAAUAAUCUGAUAUUCUGAGUGUAUAGUGUUGUCUUUAUUCUUUGUAGAAAAAGAGAAAGAAGCAGAUUCACAUACUCCAUUUGUUCUUAAUGCUUUGUUGAUAGACUAAAUAAUUUAGUUGACUUUGCAUGUUGUUAUGCUUUUAUGUCUUUGAAACUAUAUCUUUUGAUACUGCUCGAUCUAUAGAGAUACCAUGGCAGUAGUCAAGAAAAAGUCUACUGUCUUAUUUAUAACUUGUUUGGAAUAUGGAAUUGCUCAGAUUUAAUAUGUGGGAAUGAAAAUUCGGGUUUAGCUUUAUUUCUUUGUCUCAACAACAACUGAUAGAAUUAUUACCAAGGUUUGAAAUAAUAUUGGAGAAAUAUCAAUGAAUAUUUUGACAAAAAUAUCGAUCUUGUCCAAAAUUAAUGAAAAUGCUUAAAAAACUUUCAAAAAAAUGAUAAAAUAAAGACGCAUUCACAUAUUAAAGUUAUUUUUAUAUGUAAUUGAUAUAAGUAUGAUUAAAAAUAUUAUUUAUCAAAUUUUAUAAAAAAAUUAGCUUAAAUUCCUUUAAUAUAUUCAAAUUCAGUUAUUUAAAAAUUUUAAAAAUACUUUUAUUGAAACUUGUUUUAUGACAUUUUAAAUAAAAAAUUAAAUUAAUUUAUAUAAAAUAUUUUAUUUGAGAUUUAAUUUCCAAAAUUUUAUUAUGGUGACAACCUAUUGUGGCAAUUUUUUAAAAUAGGAUUAAUGAGAUAAAUUAUGAUACAUAUAUGAUUUUUUUUUUUAAAUAUUUAUAUUUUUUAUAUUUAAUUAUCAUAUAAAUGAUAUAAAAAACUUGUUAAGAAAAUUAUAAUGAUUGCUUUAUAUUUUUAGUAAUCAAUUAAAUAAAAAUUAAAAUAAAAUAAUUAGAAUUAAUUUAUUUAUUAGAAUUUUGUUUUAAUAAGGAACUUUGAUAUAGUAAUAUGCAUGCCUAUUAACAAGGGCAAACUUGUCCCAGUGGUGGCCAUGCUGAAGUUCAAGUCUUUUGGCCAGGGUUUGAACCCCACGCUGCAGUGACAGUGAAAAAAUAAUUUUGAGGGGAGCUGUAGAACGAAAUAUCAGGAAAUUUCUUGAAAAAUCGGCAAAAAAGCUGAUAAAUGCCGGCGAUAACUUCAAAAAAAUAGCAAAAUUUCUCCCAACCAACUGAUAACCGAAAUAUCGGGGAAAUUUCACCGAUAAAAAUCGAACAUUUUAAACACUGAUUGUUACUUUAGUGUUUGGGCUAAGGUUAUCUUAUGUGAAAUUUGUUAUUGUCAGGUAUUGUGUGUGCUGCCAAUAGUGCCCAUCUGGUGGAAAAACCUAAGAACGUGCAGAUUGUUCUUUGUUAGACCAAAGUGUGCUGACUCGUGUUACUUUUCCUGUUUAUAAGCUCUGUUUUUUUUUUUUUAUUAGGAAUAAUGCUGGGUGCAUUGCCAAUCUUGCCCCUUCCAGCAACUCCCUCAGAUGGGAAUCUUGGCUCUCUUCCCCUAUCUCAGCUGCAGGUUCAGUUGCAACCCACACAGGGACCAUUGGAAUCAUACAUCCUCCUCCAGACAUUAGAAACAUUGUUGACAAGACUGCACGGUUUGUUGCAAAAAAUGGUCCUGAAUUUGAGAAAAGAAUCAUGGCAAAGUUCAGUUAAUUUUAAUUAUAUUUGAUUUUCUUUGGGAUUUUCCAUGGUGAAAUUAAACAUGAGAAAUUCAUUUAUUCAACAUUUUUUUUUCCUUAGUAUUUUCCUGGAACCAAACAUAGCCUUAGUGAAUUUGGUUACAAAUAUAGCUUCCUGUUACUUUUGAUCAUACUUUCCCUUCUAUCUGCAGUUGUGAAGGAUCUGAAGUAUGCUGACUCUCAUGAGUGGGUGAAAAUUGAUGGGAAUUCUGCUAUUGUGGGCAUAACCGACCAUGCUCAAGAUCAUUAAGUGAUGUUGUGUAUGUUGAGUUACCUGAAGCAGGGGCUGCUGUAACCCAGGGCAGCAGUUUUGGUGCAGUUGAAAGCGUGAAGGCCACAAGUGAUAUAAACUCUCCUGUUUCUGGAAAAGUGGUUGAAGUUAAUGAAGAGCUUAACAGCUCACCCGGUUUGCUGAGUCCUCAAAUGCUUGGUUAGUGUUUGUGAUAUUGCUUUCAAAUGAAUUGUUGAUAUUGUUUUAUAAUGAAUUAUUGAUGUUUUGGUAUCAAUUUCUUUUGUUCUUUUAUUUUUCUUAAUUUUGUAUGCAUAUGUGGGGGUGUUGGAUUGAUGACAUUUGUGCCUCAUUGAAUUGGUUCUUGGUGUUGUUUUUGUUAGGAAGAGAACCAAUUUGCACAAGUAAAUUAAAGAUUUUGGCAAACUUCCCAAUAAUGGUUAAGUUUCCCCAUUCAAAGGAGUGAUUUGAAACUCAGAUAAAUGUUGAACUGUUCAGACUGUUAGCCUGCCGCCAUUACCAUUUUUUCAAACUCCUCACUCCCAUCUUCCUUUUCUCUUUUCUGCAGUGUUCGAAUCCGAAAGGUGGCCCUUCCUUUUCUUUUAUUUUGUGCUUGUGUUUUUUCUAAAUUCAAUUUCCCAAACUAUGAUGAUUGGACAAUGGAGCCUAUAUCCAAUUCAAAAAAAUCACACCUCUUAGGUAUUUCAUCAUUUCGUUUUUGCUUGCAUUGAUUUUUGUGCAUUCCACUUCUACGUUCCUAAGGGUCACCCUUUUCUAGUUCCUUAUUUGUGGUUCUAAAACCCCUUUCAAAAUGGUUGGUCAAUAAUGAAAGGAUAAUGAGAUUUGCCCGACUGAUAAGCUCUUUCAGUGCUUCAUCUUGGGUUGUUCAGACAAUUUAUUGGUGCUCACUGGGCACUCCUGGAGGUGAUUGAACCUUUAGACUUGAACCAGUUUCUUUUGUGGGUCGUGAAAACAUUGUUUAGGAAUAACCAAAAGUAGAAAAUUGAGUUAGACUCAAAACUAAAUAAUUUAACAGAAAUUCCUCAUGAUACUGAGAGCUCUGAGCUCAAAUUCUGUAUCAUCAAUUAUACAAAAGAUAUGAUUAUCUCAUUAAACAGGUUUCAACUUGUGCUAAAUUGAUCUUACUUCCACUCUCUUUAGUUUUUAUAUUUGGUUUCUUGAUAUAAACGCAAAAAGGAAAGUGUUUUCCUCAUUAUUUAUAUUUGAUACCCCUUUCUUGAUUCAGGUUAAUGCGAGCCCAUAUGAAAAUGGGUGGAUUAUAAAGGUGGAGAUGAGUGACACCGGUGAAUUAAAUUCUUUGAUGGACUUAGAACAGUACACCAAGUUUUGUGAAGAAGAAGAUGCCAAGCAUUGAGUGAGGUACUCUAGGCAUCUUAUGGAAACUAGAAAGAGGAUUUUCAUGGACGAGUUAUUGUAUCUAAAAGGAAGCCAGAGAGUGGGCUUUGGUUCUUCUUGGCAUUUUUGUCCAUUGUGCUUUCAACUGUGCACUCCUUUUAUGUCUUUCCUUGCAAGCUAUGAAUUCUGGUGAUUUUGAACAGAAUAUUUCUGUCUAGAUUAAGAAUAAUUGUUCAUGUUGUCAUUUGAUCUCCCAUUGGCAUACUAACAAUUUUCGAAUUGAGAAUUUCUUCUUUUUGCUGAAGCCGUAUACCUCUCUGAGAAGUAUUCAAUUUCCUAUUAUCCAUGUGGGUGACUUUAAGUUCUGUUGGGCUUUAAAGCUGUUUGGUCUGUCGAUGGUCCUACUCUCACUAAGAAUAAGUUUUAAUUGUUAGUAUGAAUGGCUGUAAACCUGACAACAAUCUUGUUUCAUUGGGUUUCUAAAUGUCUUAUUUUACUGGCUUUCCAUUUCUUGAUGAAGUCCUUCACCUCUCUGGUAAGUAUUCAAUUUUAUAUCUCCUAUUUGGGCGACCUUAGGUUUUCUUGGGCAUUAAAGCUACUUGGUCUCCCGACGGUUGACUCUCACUAAGAAUAGAUGUAUUCUUUAUAUUUUAUAAUUUGCUUGUAUGAUUGGCUGUAAACCCAAAACCAAUCUAGUUGUAUUUGGUUUCUAAACGAUGUCUUCUAAUGGCUCAUACACCCUCAUCUGGUCAGUGUCUGUUAUCUUACUCUCAUACAGCCUCAUUAUGCUCCUUGUGAAUCAAGCGUCACAAGCAAACGUCUUCAGGCUAUCAAAUGCAUGCUAUGGUACUUUGUAAGGCUUCUUUAGUACUGUAAUUAUUCUUUGGCCUGUCUCUAUAUCAUGUAUGUGUUUUUUAGAUGCCACUUCGAUGCGUACCCUUAUGAUCCCCAACAAUUUAUACACAAGCCUAGCAUUAAGUAUCUUAUCCUGGAAGUCAAGGAACCAGCCUUCAGUCUCUGGUGCAGUUUGUUUGGGAAUUAUACUCUUCAUGUUAAUUUUGCCCUCUCCAAUUGCUUAACUUGCCGAUAUCUGCAAAUAAAUAUUUGUCGGCCUUUUCCCUUUCUUUAGCAUUGCCGUAAAUCCUAAUGGUUUUCCGAGUAGAAAUACCAUAAUCAAUCCACGGCUCUGAUAUCUAGGACCAUUCGGAGACUCAAAUCUUUCCGUAUAGAGUCAGGUGAGUAAUGCUCAUUCCUCCAACCAUUGUAUUGCCAUUUUCUCCUCUACUUUUGCUAGUUUUAAGAGUACAAAUAAGUAACACUAAUCAGGUUUGGCCACAGAAUAGAAACCAAGCCACAUUCUAUUCAUAGGCAUGCAGAAUAGUGAAACUUCACCCUUAUAUGAAGCCAUGUCUUCUAUCAAGCAAAUGUGUAAUUACUGGGACAUGCCUGGAGCGACCGGCAAUUUGUUAGAUAUGCGACUGUUAAUGCAGUGAUACUGUCUGUUGACUCUGUUCUGUGUGUUUAUGCAUGCUUAUGAGGCUCCGGUCUCGUGUGUUUUCUUCCAUUUGGAAUCCAGUGAACUAGUAGGAAAAGGAGUACAAAUGACAGCAUGCACGGGUUAUUUUCUUUUUUAUUGCCUUUUUUUUUUUCUUUUAAAAUUUCUUAGGAUAAAGCCUUAUAAUGCUCAUAAUUCUGCAUUAUGUAAAUAAUUGAAUGUUCUUGGGAUAGGGACAUGAAUCAUAAUAUGAUAAUAAUGUGAUAUAAUUGUCCUAAGGUUGUUGAAGUUGAUAGAAAAAGUAGUAGCAGUCUGAACCUGAGCAGCAACUAGGCUCUGGAAGACGGCAAGUUGGCAGCCGAGAGGAAAUGAGAGAAGAGAGCAAGGGACUGAGCAGGUGCAAGGAUGGGGACCUGGUGACCUGCACCUCUUACGGUUGCUAGUGUAAGGCCACCCUCAUAAGUCACCACCCAACCGGCCACUUGUUUCCUGUGGAACCAUGCCCUCCACCCUUUCUGAAUCCUUAACCCCAUCUUGUUUAUGCUGUACCUUGUUGAUGUCACUGGCACCCUCCCAUCUGUGUCCCCACUGUUUCAUCAUCACCAUCACUAUUUUUGUCAGUGUUAAUGAUACAAAAUAGCUUAUCAUCUUUGUGUCCUGAAUGGAAGAAGCUUUUGUUUAGUAAUGAAAGUCUUAAGACAAAUUUUGAUUAGGUUAUGCUAUUAAUUUGGAGGUCUUUUUGACUCCCUUGGUGUCUGAGUAUAAAAACUGCAAUGAAUGAUGUAAAUAGCAUUACUUGAUAAUGUAACAAUAUAAUAUGAAAAAAAAGACCACACUAAUUGAACUCUAAACUGGCUUUGAUGUUUCUUUUGGGGAAGGGGUGGGGGGUACUUUUAGGAGCAUCAUUUCAACUAUCAAAAUUGCCCUUUCAAUGCCUCCAGCUUCAAUUCAAAUUAGAAAUCGCAUUUAGAAGUGGCGACUUCAUUUUAAAUUGAGAAGCCGUGUAUAGAAACUACGGCAUCAAUUGAAAAUAAGUGGGCUAGAAUGUCACCUACUAGCCAUAAGAGGGAUCCUGAUUGAAAAUUCUUUUUGUUAGGUGUUUUUAUUUUGAUCUGUUAGGCUUUCCUUUUUCUUUUGGGUUUUGGGCUGUAAAAAAUAUACCAAGUAAAAUGUCAAAGGACUUUGUUAGAGGUACGUUCGAGGGUAUUAAAAAAAUCUAAGAAAAAAUGAAGUAGAGUGUAGGACAGUGGUAGUGGGAUCGGCUCCUAGGGCACUGAAUUUCGAGUUUGAGUUUUCUUGAUUUUUAAGUGGUCUAUAUAGGUGGUCCCAUCCCAUGUGACCUGGGAUUUCCUGUAGUUGAGAUAAAUGACUUUUUUUCACUUACAAUCAAAGCAAAUAUGAAAAAAAAAAAAAGGAGCUUUGCUAUGUCAUUUUACCCACAGCUAAGAUAAGAUCAGAAAAUUGGGUGUCUGUAGAGAGUACCAGUAGACCCAAAUGCGCAGACCAGCCUUUAAGAGCUUCUGAAUUGUGGGCAGCAUGGUCUCUGCCGAAUCAUUCCACUUCCUAAUAACAUUACUGCAUACACCCCCACAAAAGACAAUUCACAACUCUACUCUGCCAAUAGUCCUUCCAAACAAAAUGCAUACUUUCACUACUGUCUUUACACAUUUAAAGGUACUACAAACAAGGGAUAAACAACAAAUCUACAGUAUCAAAAGCUUUGUCAUCAUGUUAGAUUAUCAUUAGCCCCUAAGCUUACACGGUAUAUUAAGCUGUGUAACAACUAAUGGUGUUUAAGCUCUGUGAAGACCCACUUUAAUUACCAUUAAAUUCAUUCCCUUGUGUGGUUUCUACCAAUAAUUGGCUGUGACUUGAAGAGGAUAGAAAGUUGAUAUUUACUGAAAGAAGUAGCAGUUGCAAGCAUUAGGUGGUGGGUUUUUAAGUGCCAAAAGAAAUGAAAAAGAGAGGUCGAGGAUCCCACUGCUAUGGUGCAUUAAUUUACUGAAGGGAAAGCAGAGUGAAAGCUCUCCGUCAAAGGUUCCACAGUUGAGUAAAUGUUUGAAAGCUCUCCUUCGAAGGUUCCACAACUGUCUAGUAAAUGCUUCAAUGCCCCCCAAAUUAAAAGAUACCGCCAUCAUGUCUUUUUUGCUUUUCUACAUAAUGCAUACAUUUAUUGCAUGCUUCUGAAUAAAAAUGCAUGUAAAUAUAAGGGUAGAACUUAGAAGUUAGAAUAAGUUCUUGUUCAAUGUGGCUGAAUGUUGUUCAUAAUUGAAUUUUUGUAUUUUAUUUGUUACUUACCUGCAUGGGGUGUAUGGAUAGGGGAGUUUGGUGACAUUGGCAUGAAGGGCCUUCUGAACAUCCUCCCUGUUGAAAUAUUUCUCAGCAUAAUCUUCUGUACAUGGAUCGUAUCCCGAUGGUAGCUGAUGCCAGAGGUCCUGAAAUCAAGAAAUUAACAAUAUAUAUAUUUAAAUUACAUAUUCAAUUGGACUUCAAUUCUUGUAUUAAUGCUGCAUGCACCAUCUUACCCGUCUUGUUUUCUUUCAUUCAAUGCAGAAAGCUAAGCUUCUUAUAGGGCAUAGCAUCUUGCUCAUUUCCCAUUAAUUUCAUUAGUUUUCCUCUUGAAAAUGAAGAAUAAUCUUUUGUUUGUGAAACCCUUUAGGCAGAAGGCUCUAUAAUCCUAGAAAUUUUUUCAUAACACAGGAGAGGAGAUUGGAGACAAGUCAACUUACAUGUUGUGUGAAGAGUCUUGGUGCAGUGACAAAUUUUCGGUAGGUUUCUUUGGAAGAACUGAGGCAUACAGGUGUGUAAAUGCUAUACAUGUCGAUAUCGGAAUAAGCCUCUAAGAGGCCCUUGAUAUGGUUACUGCAGAGGUUUGUAGGGUUGUCCCUUAUGAAGUCGCAUUCCUUGAUUAUGCCAUGGUAGAGUUGGUCUGAUAUGAUUGCAUGACUCCAUGCGAACUCAAUGAGGCCCAUAUCGUCUGUUUCAUCAUUGAUUACUGCAUUCCCAAUCUAAUUAUCAAUCACAACCUUAAGUAAAUAGCAAUACUUAAUAAAAAUAUGAGAGUCUCAUGAUCAUGAUCAUGAUCUUGAUAAGGGAGUGUGUAUCAAUUUAGUUGGUAGAUGAGGCAUAUAUACCAUGAAACCCUUGAGAUUAAUGUAAGAGUCUUUGGUGCUUUUUCUGUUCCUUUCAUAAAUGAGCUCAGCAAGCUGAGGAACAUAGUGGCCUUUACAGAAAGAGAGAAAGAGGUCAGUUUGGCUACAAAGAAUUAGGAAGAGAAAAAUAGGAAGAAAAAGGAGUGAUAGAUACCAGCAUAGCUCUCUCCAGUGAUGUAGAAAUCAUGGGAUUUGAAGCUAGGGAACCUCUUGAACCAUUGGACUAAGAAUGCAUGAGAAUCCUCAGCUGUGAUUCGAUCACCAAGCUUAAGCAAAUCCGUCGAUUUGUUCGUAUAUGAAAACCCUACUCCCACAGGUGCCUCCAGGAACAGAAUGUUUGCAACUGGAUGAUAUUGUAGUUAGAAAAUGAAGGUGAUCAGUACAAUUACACACAGAAAUUGUUAUAGGUCAUUGACUUCUUUUUUCAUUUGAUCUAAAAGCUAAUUCAAAUUAUUGAUUAGAACAACAGAAUGGACCACCUUGAAGUGGUAGGCUACCUAUAACCUACCCCUAACUCUACACCAAAACCUCUUUCUCCAGGGCUCGUGGCUAACCCAGAAGGAAAAUUUAUUGAAAUGAUUACCUUUGUUCCAGGAAAAAUCAUUAAGAAUAAGCUGAGUUCCAUUGCUCCUAACAAGAAACGGACCGAGUUCUUGUGCAGCUCCAUAAGCUAUGGAUGAGCAUCCAGGUCCUGCAAUAAGAAGAACAUUCUCUGAUAGGUAGAAAUAAGGUAAUGGAUAGUGAGUUUUGAUUGAGUUGUUGCAGCAAGCUUAGAUAUAUCAUGAGUUUUGCUUGAAUUUGUUUUCCUUUUAAGUGAGAGAUUUUUAUUAUCUUUCAGAGUUUCCAAGACGUUUCUGUUCCAAACCAGCCAAAUUUUCUCGGAUUCUGAAAGAAAAAGAUGAUUUGCAAAUUUGUAUUUACUCUCAGUUGAAAUCCAACAGGAAGAGAAAGAGACCCACAUGAAAAAAAGAAAAAGAAAAAAGGCAGACAACAACAUCACCAACCCCGUUUUUACCUCAAAAAUGGAGAAAACCCCACUUGCCCAUGAAAUUUCCUAUCUUAUCCCUGCAACCAAAUAACCCCCAUUUCUCCUUUUUAAGCAUGAGGAGAAAGGACCCACAUUCCAUAAUCAACAACCCAGUGAGACCAGCAGUGUGCAAAACAAAAAUUUUCUCACAUUUUCCCAGGAAAAUAAUGGUAAGGCUUGGUGGUGGGUCCCACCUAGUUUGGGUGCACGCCUAAGGCCUGAACAUAGACUACACAGUGAGGUGGGCCUUCUCAGAAGGACAAAAGAGAAGGAAGGGGAUAACAUUGAGAAGAAAGUCCUACGCAAACACAUGAAAAAGGGGUUGACAGAAAAGAAAAGGGCAAAAAAAAAGGCAAGAUGAAGUGCAACGGAUCAAGUGGCUGACACCCCUCUGCAACGAUCCAUACCUUGGCCUUCUGAUCCAACGGCUAUUAUUCCAUAUCUCCAAUCCAGUCAAACCCAAAAAUAAAAAAUAAAAAAAUAAAAAACACACCAUACCUCCCAACGACAUGGUGGGGACUGAUUAAUUUGAAAAAAAAUUCAAAUACGUUAGAACUGGUUUUUUAAAAUAAAAUAUUCACAAAAAAUAAUAAUUAUAAAUAUAAUUUGAAUUUUUAAAAAUUCAUCUCCUCAGCAUCAAAAAAUAAAAUCUCAAAAGAAAUUAUGAAUGAGAUGUUGGAAAAGGUGAGAAUCACAGUCAUGGAAGCCGUUAAAGAUACAACAGACAGGGAAUAUUCUCUGCCGUAAAAAAUAAAUAAACAAAGUGGUUUCUUUGGGCUGUACGUACUCUCUGGAAACACCUAAAUUUGUGAAAAAAAUGAUCAUAAAUACAAACUCUAUUGAUUUGAUAGUAGAAUAAUUGUAUAUAAAAUAAAAAUAUCAUAAUUAAUUAUUCUUAAUUUCAUAAAAUAAUAAAAGCAAACAAGAAAAAAAAAAUCAGUUAAUUUAUGUUUUCUUCUUUCUUCGUAUGCAAAAAUAGCAAAAUUCCUUCUUCCUUUUUUUUUUUUUUUCAGCAUCGAGCUUCAAUUCACUUUUUUCUUCGGUUAUUUUCUACCUUUCCCUCUAGUUUCCUUUCAUCCAAACAGAAUCUUUAAAAUCUGGCAUUUUUCUUCGAAAUUAUAACAGAGGCGUGUGUAUCAGUGAUGGAAAAAGACCAACAGAAAAGUUGUCGUGAAAAUGAAGCAGUAAAUCUGAGAAAAUGGAUAAAUCGAGAGAGGAGGAAGAGAGAAGCGAGAAGAGAGACCUCCAUUGAGCCAAAGCACAAGAGGCUUUUCAAGAACACCGCCUUGGGCUUCAAAGAACCAGUAGAAGAGUGCCUUCUCGUCUUGUGGCCGGAGUUUCACGUACCCUGCGUAGUGCCGGAACUCCACCGCCGGCUGUCCCGGCAAAUCCUUAACUCUGUCUUUCUCUUGCUGUAAUUCCUCCGCUCCGGCCACCGAGGCCGCCGCCGCCGCCGCCAUCGCCUGUAGAACCAGGCAGAAGAUCAGCAAGUUGCAGAGAGAAGACGCCAUUGAAACCAUUCUCUGUACUCGCAGCACUUCUCUCUUUCUACUUUCUAGACGAACAGCAGAGAGAGA
RNAcentral lists this long non-coding RNA (17505 nucleotides) under Vitis vinifera (wine grape). Its description in RNAcentral is "long non-coding RNA (VVIN_LNC000022)". Lineage: Eukaryota; Viridiplantae; Streptophyta; Magnoliopsida; Vitales; Vitaceae. The record is from RNAcentral.